Molecule: ribosomal RNA, 530 nt
Filed under: uncultured fungus
Lineage: Eukaryota; Fungi
Description: LSU rRNA
Rfam family: Eukaryotic large subunit ribosomal RNA
Source: RNAcentral
CAAUAAGCGGAGGAAAAGAAACCAACAGGGAUUGCUCUAGUAACGGCGAGUGAAGCAGCAAUAGCUCAAAUUUGAAAUCUGGCGUCUUCGACGUCCGAGUUGUAAUUUGUAGAGGAUGCUUCUGAGUAACCACCGACCUAAGUUCCUUGGAACAGGACGUCAUAGAGGGUGAGAAUCCCGUAUGCGGUCGGAAAGGUGCCCUAUACGUAGCUCCUUCGACGAGUCGAGUUGUUUGGGAAUGCAGCUCUAAAUGGGAGGUAAAUUUCUUCUAAAGCUAAAUAUUGGCCAGAGACCGAUAGCGCACAAGUAGAGUGAUCGAAAGAUGAAAAGCACUUUGGAAAGAGAGUUAAAAAGCACGUGAAAUUGUUAAAAGGGAAGGGAUUGCAACCAGACUUGCUCGCGGUGUUCCGCCGGUCUUCUGACCGGUCUACUCGCCGCGUUGCAGGCCAGCAUCGUCUGGUGCCGCUGGAUAAGACUUGAGGAAUGUAGCUCCCUCGGGAGUGUUAUAGCCUCUUGUGAUGCAGCGAGCG